This 446-nucleotide ribosomal RNA is filed under the name Trichoderma strigosum. RNAcentral's name for it is "eukaryotic LSU rRNA". It matches the Rfam family "Eukaryotic large subunit ribosomal RNA", at positions 118 to 573 of the family's 3401-position model. The record is from RNAcentral. Lineage: Eukaryota; Fungi; Ascomycota; Sordariomycetes; Hypocreales; Hypocreaceae.
AAAUCUGGCCCCUAGGGUCCGAGUUGUAAUUUGUAGAGGAUGCUUUUGGUGAGGUGCCGCCCGAGUUCCCUGGAACGGGACGCCACAGAGGGUGAGAGCCCCGUCUGGCUGGCCACCGAGCCUCUGUAAAGCUCCUUCGACGAGUCGAGUAGUUUGGGAAUGCUGCUCAAAAUGGGAGGUAUAUGUCUUCUAAAGCUAAAUAUUGGCCAGAGACCGAUAGCGCACAAGUAGAGUGAUCGAAAGAUGAAAAGCACCUUGAAAAGAGGGUUAAAUAGUACGUGAAAUUGUUGAAAGGGAAGCGCUUGUGACCAGACUUGGGCGCGGCGGAUCAUCCGGGGUUCUCCCCGGUGCACUUCGCCGCGUUCAGGCCAGCAUCAGUUCGGUCGCGGGGGAAAAAGGCUUCGGGAACGUGGCUGCUCCGGCAGUGUUAUAGCCCGUUGCAUAAU